This 332-nucleotide ribosomal RNA is filed under the name uncultured bacterium. RNAcentral's name for it is "partial 16S ribosomal RNA". It matches the Rfam family "Bacterial small subunit ribosomal RNA", at positions 338 to 681 of the family's 1533-position model. The record is from RNAcentral.
CCUACGGGUGGCAGCAGUCGAGAAUCAUUCACAAUGGGGGAAACCCUGAUGGUGCGACGCCGCGUGGGGGAAUGAAGGUCUUCGGAUUGUAAACCCCUGUCAUGUGGGAGCAAAUUAAAAAGAUAGUACCACAAGAGGAAGAGACGGCUAACUCUGUGCCAGCAGCCGCGGUAAUACAGAGGUCUCAAGCGUUGUUCGGAAUCACUGGGCGUAAAGCGUGCUGAGGCUGUUUCGUAAGUCGUGUGUGAAAGGCGCGGGCCCAACCCGCGGAAGGCACAUGAUCCUGCGAGACUAGAGUAAUGGAGGGGGAACCGGAAUUCUCGGUGUAGAAG